Non-coding RNA from Pogona vitticeps (central bearded dragon), 651 nucleotides. NCBI's taxonomy places the organism in Eukaryota, Metazoa, Chordata, Lepidosauria, Squamata, Agamidae. The record is from RefSeq and is a predicted model, not a curated record.
UCCAGAGUACAUUCUUUGGUUCCUUGCUGAAUGCCAAGUUCACCAGAUGUUCUCAGUUGUUAAUUGCCUCUGACUUUGGUUCCUUUUUUUCUCUCUUGUCAGCCAAAGAACGAAAAGAGUAUAUGUCUAUGUACAACAGAAUCCUCCAUUAUCUCCAUUUUGGUCCACCAAAAUAUUGUCUCAGCUUGAGUUGACUGUGCACCCUCUUGGGGUUGAUGGCUGCUGUUCUGAGGAAGAGGAAGCUCUCUUUCCUUCCAGAAUAGACAUCCUGAUCCAUUCAUCAACUAAGACUAGUGAAUUUGGAACAGCUUUGGUGAAACUCACUGCCAUCCCAGUGCCAAAAAAUGCUAUGGAAGCUCCGUUGUGACUACACAGCCUUGGCAUCCGGCUGAUCUGCUAAGUCUCAGAAGGAGAGGAUCAAGUAGGGGAAUGGCUCAUACCAUCACAGGUGCUGGCCACUCUGCACAAGCUGGCCUUAGGUGCCUCCCCGUUGACUGAGCACAGCCGUGGAGAGAUGCUGAAUCUAUCCAAAAUGCUGUUGGCCAAUGGCAGAAAACAGCUCUGUCAGGAAGGCUGAGCGUGGGAAGUGUGAACGUAAAAGACCCUUAUCUGUGCCUGUACCCUGGACAAUAUUCCUCUGCCUGCGUUGAU